GUUUGCUUUUGUCUCAUUUGUGGACAAGUACUUAGCAAAAAUAAGUCCUCUUCUGCAACACAGAAUUCAUUGUUCAAUAUGAGUUUUGACACAUAUAAAAAAAGAACAUG
This 110-nucleotide small nucleolar RNA is filed under the name Catagonus wagneri (Chacoan peccary). RNAcentral's name for it is "Small nucleolar RNA SNORA40 (ENSCWAG00000008829.1)". It matches the Rfam family "Small nucleolar RNA SNORA40". From Rfam's summary of the family: The snoRNA ACA 40 belongs to the H/ACA family of snoRNAs and guides the pseudouridylation of 28S rRNA subunit at position U4565. NB This family has a high threshold value to exclude a large number of closely related sequences that do not appear to have conserved H and ACA boxes, and may be pseudogenes. The record is from Rfam by way of RNAcentral. Lineage: Eukaryota; Metazoa; Chordata; Mammalia; Artiodactyla; Tayassuidae.